CCCAGUUGCAAAGCGCGCACCGCCCCCUAUAUUAGACCUGUCCUUCGGGACUAUGAACAUAAACGCGCUCGUAAUAAGCGGAUCGGACCCGGGGGCGGUACCCGGCGGCUCCACCAAACAUCGCUCAUUUGGCGACCAUGGGGCCGAAAUAGGAUCGACGAACGUCUAAAGGGGUUAGCUUUGUUUCGGUGAGUUACCACCGUUAUCGGUACAUAUAAGCUAGUUGCAAAUGACAACAAUGCUCAGGUCGCACUCGCAGCGUAAGCUGUGCGUAACACCUAAAUCUUAAGCCCUUGGGCCUAGCAGCUCAAGGCGGGGUUCGCAGGUACCUGGCAACAGAAACCUGCACU
RNAcentral lists this transfer-messenger RNA (350 nucleotides) under Thalassorhabdomicrobium marinisediminis. Its description in RNAcentral is "Rhodobacteraceae bacterium BH-SD16 transfer-messenger RNA". It matches the Rfam family "Alphaproteobacteria transfer-messenger RNA". From Rfam's summary of the family: Bacterial tmRNA, also known as 10Sa RNA or SsrA, is named for its dual tRNA and mRNA-like properties. Its role is to liberate the mRNA from a stalled ribosome. The record is from RNAcentral. Lineage: Bacteria; Pseudomonadati; Pseudomonadota; Alphaproteobacteria; Rhodobacterales; Paracoccaceae.